This 253-nucleotide ribosomal RNA is filed under the name uncultured bacterium. RNAcentral's name for it is "partial 16S ribosomal RNA". It matches the Rfam family "Bacterial small subunit ribosomal RNA", at positions 524 to 776 of the family's 1533-position model. The record is from RNAcentral.
AACGUAGGAGGCAAGCGUCAUCCGGAGUUACUGGGCGUAAAGAGUGCGUAGGCGGAUCUGUAAGUGGGUGGUGAAAGCGCCCGGCUAAACCGGGCGAGGUCCAAUCAGACUGCAGGUCUAGAGGCGGAUAGAGGGGUGCGGAAUUCCGGGUGUAGCGGUGAAAUGUGUAGAGAUCCGGAGGAACACCAGUGGUGCAGACGGCGCCCUGGGUCCGAACUGACGCUGAAGCACGAAAGCGUGGGGAGCGAACGGG